UUUGAAAGUUUGAAGGUAUGAUGACUCCGAGCCAAGGGCAAGCGGCAUUGCUGACAUUCUGCUCCUGCAUUAGCCUCACUAGCGUUGGCCUUGUUCUUACAGACUGUUCCGGACAUUGGUAACAACUGAUUUUGGAUCAUUGCAUCGAACCCCUUAGCUGGAGCACACUAUUGGAUGCGGGCAUCGUGGAAGGAGCAAAUUAAGGUAAAGAUGAUAGUGGCGGAAGACGGACGCUAUCGUAGAUCGUUGAGCAGACGAGGAAGGAGCUGUAGCUCAGUGAGAAGGGAAUGGUUUAUGUAAAGGGCAUAUUUGAGAGAUGACCAACACCCCAACACUUCUGAUGGGGUGUUGAUCAUCCAACGCUCGAAGCAAUACUUACUGCAGGGGCAUGCUAUUACUAGGAAGCUUAAUUCUGAUGAUGAGCUGCCUCAAUUUGAACAAGCCUGGAAGAAAAAUGCUAGAAAGCAUUUGCCUGGUUGGAGCGAGCAUUUUGAUGGCCAUGUUGGACGGGCCACAGUCAAGCAUCGCCUUUGUCGGACAAGGAUCAUGAAGAGAGGGCAAAAAGAUGUGAAUUUGUGUCUGAGCUAUUAUGAUCCACUGUCAUUGACGAUAAUUUAUGAGUAGGUGCAGAA
This is a long non-coding RNA of Syzygium oleosum, 632 nucleotides long. RefSeq lists it as uncharacterized. The record is from RefSeq and is a predicted model, not a curated record. Lineage: Eukaryota; Viridiplantae; Streptophyta; Magnoliopsida; Myrtales; Myrtaceae. The transcript has 4 exons.